GCACCCAGGGUUAGUCUAAAUGGAAUCUUAAAUUGGUAUUACUUUCCAGAAUGCUGCUGCUUGAAGUACUGGUGUGGGGUCUGUGGGGACCACUACAUGGCCCAAAGACUGCUUCCUGGUGUUCUUCAGGUCUCCUGAGCAAAACCCGUUACCUGUACCAGUUUUCAUCUCGCCUCUCCCUUCCCUAAAGUCCUACAGGGAAAGUCUCUCCAGUUCUCCCAAAAGACUAACCGCUUUAAAGUUUCUUUAAAGUUCGAUAUUACGUCCAACAGUUCACUCUUCAAGCGGCACCCUUGUUCUUCCAUCCCUGCAUUUAAGAUGCCCCAGCUUCCUGUGGUACCGCGGCUCUCAGCCUUAAAGGCCACAGGAAACUAGACGCUACAUACUGUGGCAUACCUGGUGACAUGGUAAGUAAAAUGUUUGAUUUUUGGUCUGAUUUAGAUUAAGAGUAAUGUGCUUAAAGUUCCCAAGAUGUAGUUUUGACUCAACAUAGCUGUUAUUGGUCCCCUUUUAGUAACUUAAGAUUAAUUUCCUUUAAGUUGUUUUAGAUACAUGAAAACUAGGGCUGGUAAGAACUACCCUUUCUCAUGGUGCAUGAAUGCUAACGCCUUCAGCUGGGAUAAAGCUAACUCCUACCGCUAGUCUUAGCAGAGGCUUCCAGCUAGUUCUUGUCAAAAGACGAGGAUAAGGAAGACUCCAUAAAGAUCGUUGUCAGAGGUGGGAUCCAGUGCAUCUAGACAAAUGGCAACGAGCGAGGCGCCACGACCUAGAGGUGGUCAUCAGGGUAAACUUACUUAACUAUUCUCGUACUACAGGGCUCGGGCGACCACGUCCAGGCAACGAGGACUGUCGGAGUACAGAAGAACAUUUAUAACGAUAUAAAGUGGCAAGACAUUGUCACGUCACGUCUGUGAUACCAGCCUUUGAUAUUUCUUUUGUUGACAGAAAAUUGCGUG
This is a non-coding RNA of Procambarus clarkii (red swamp crayfish), 956 nucleotides long. The record is from RefSeq and is a predicted model, not a curated record. NCBI's taxonomy places the organism in Eukaryota, Metazoa, Arthropoda, Malacostraca, Decapoda, Cambaridae.